Molecule: long non-coding RNA, 522 nt
Organism: Bos taurus (domestic cattle)
Lineage: Eukaryota; Metazoa; Chordata; Mammalia; Artiodactyla; Bovidae
Source: Ensembl
GGGAGCCACCGGGAUGCGAGGACAAAGAAGGAUGCCCUUGGUGGAGACUCUCAGCCCCUGCAUUUGGAUUGCUGCCCGGCCCCCUGCCCCUCCUCCUCCCACAAACAGUUGUGCUGACAUCUCAGGAAAGAAGGGCCUGAGUGGGGGCUUCAUGGAGCCCAUUGUACAGAUGGGGAAGCUAAGGCUCAGAGAUGUCAGUCCAGUGAUUAUAUGCCCUGCCCUGCCCUAUUUUCCGGAGUCAAAUAUUCAGAAAAAUAACCAAGUUGUCCAAGAGUGACCUCUAGCAUCCUGGGACAUUGUCCCUUCUCAGCAGGGGUCUGUGUCUUGGGUCUCCCAGGCAGGCAGGCAGGCCCCAAGGUUCCCAGGCCCCAGCCUUGGAGAUAGCUCUUGGAGACCCCAACUCACCAUCUCCUACUCAGCUGUUAAUGCCUCCCAGACUGAUCCUGUGCUUCUGCUGGGGACCUGGGCCUGCCUGCCGUGAGUCCCGUGAUAGAAAAAUGGUCACCAGCGACUGGCCUGAAC